UUUUCCUCUCUUAGGUUUGGUUCCUUUAAUAGUGAAUAAUGAGAAUCUCAAGGGUUUUCUAAUUCUUUGUUACAGUCGAUUUUCUUGUGCAGUAAUAAUAGGUUAUAGAUGAAGCCAGGUGGUGCCAGAAGUAGAAUCCAGGUCUUUCUUUGGCUUCUCUCCUAAUCUACUAAUUUAAGUUAAAAAAAAAAAAAAAGAUUCUUCUAAAUUAUGUCCCAGUAAUCAGUCACCCAGUUCAUUCUCUUGUGUGCAGUUCUGAGCAAGAUAAAUUCAGAAUUGCCUAUUUAAGCAUCCUCAACUUUGCUGAAGUUGGAACUUAAUUGACAGAAAAGAGCAAUAUCAAAAAAGCACAUGCACUGUUUUUUUCUUUUCUUCUUUUUUUUAUAGUGUUAAAGGUAUAUAUUCUAUUUUUGGAAGAUAAACUAUAGACAAAAGCAAAAAUAUUUAACUUAAUAUUUAACUUGUAUAAGUUUGUGUCAAUCUAAACAAAUACUGAGGGAGAAGGAUGGAGUUAUAGAGGUAUGGCAUAGAAGAAAACAGAGGUUGUAUUGUCUUCUGUUUUUUAGAAACUUAAAAAUCAUCUUUAGCUGCCUGCUACCUUCUUGGUUUAUUUUAACAAAUGUAAUGGAUAUGAUAAUAAUGUUGUUCUGUUGUCUCUUAACUCCUAACUUCUAGAAAAAGAGGGUGUUAUAUUGAAGCAGAGCAAUUACUAAAACUCAUUCUCCCAGAGUCUCCCUAAAAUGACCUGAAAAUGCAUUUCUUGAAGUUUGAAAACAGAAACUCUCAGAGCAUGGGAGUCUGUUUGUUUGUUUCAAAUUAAUACCUACUACCUUCAUGAUGGGGGAAAAUCAAAAGUUUCCGUGCAAAUGGCCAAUCCCGCAUUAUUAAAACCAAGUCCAAAAUUACAAGUUCAAUACUACCACAAACGAUUUACAGAGACACCGAGAAAGCUUACUCCUUCCUUGAGCAUUUUAUAAUAUUUGGGAGAUCAUCAACAUCAGGAAAAAAAAAAGAAUAUGUUUAUAGGGAUCUGUUUGUUUCACUUAAAAACGCCUUCACUAUACUCUAGUUUUAUCAAUGGGCAAAAGUUCUCACUGCUUGGUGUUUGGGACAGAUUAAUACAGAGAUCCAGGAAAUGGCAAUAGUUGGAAUCUGGUCUGUCCAGUCAUCUUGGAAGCUGUUUGGUAGCAGCUGUCUUUAUUUCCUAGCACAAGUUGGACUUGGAUCUGAAAAAGGAAUGAAAUCUGGUAACAUUAAAUGAAGCACUUUGGAGCUGCUGCUGAAACAUUAUUAGAAGGGAAGGAAAUCCACCCACCAAUUUGUUCUUUCCACUAGGAAAAAAACUACAGAUGAAGAUGCCAUGUGUGGUGUUUGAAUUGUCCCCAAACCACACUAGACACAGCAAAGUUUGAAUUUAUUUCAGAAGUGUGGUUUGAUAUGUAUACAUGGAGAUGCACAUCAUUCGUGUCCCUGUCUAAGGAUGCCAUUUCUGAUAAGCAUGUGUGGCAAAUCAGAAAAACUGAUAGAGGUCUGUUCUAUUUAUUCUUCAUUGCUACUAAGUCACCAUUAGUCAUGUGGUGACCACUUGGCUGGGAGAGCAAACCAAUCUUUGAACACAUCAUCUCUGUGGCAACCACUUCAGGAUUUUAUUUUAUUUUAUGCAAAGAAUGUUAUAUUCUUGUAAUAAGAACUGCUUUAUGAUAAUUAUAGAGGUUUAAAUUCUCCCAAUUUUGCCAUCAUGUCCUGUCCUGAUGUGAUCAACUCACAUAUUUUCCAAUAACUAUAUCGUCAUUUCUUCUUUUCAUGGAGCAAAUAAAAUGCUUUUAAACUGAAAUCAGAUACUGAUACUGAACCAUUUUGAGCUCUGACUUAGACUUUGCCUCAACUAGUCUUGCCAAAAAUGUCAUUAGCUAAAGAAGCUUGUCAGUGGCUCAGCAGAAAUCCUACAGUUGAUGGAUAAAGGUGCAUUGCAAGUGUCUUAGAGUUUGCCAUCUUGAUUUAGAAUAUGGAAAUAAGUGGUGUCCCA
RNAcentral lists this long non-coding RNA (2026 nucleotides) under Marmota monax (woodchuck). Lineage: Eukaryota; Metazoa; Chordata; Mammalia; Rodentia; Sciuridae. The record is from RNAcentral.